Molecule: non-coding RNA, 5443 nt
Organism: Drosophila melanogaster (fruit fly)
Lineage: Eukaryota; Metazoa; Arthropoda; Insecta; Diptera; Drosophilidae
Source: Ensembl
ACAGUUAAACUGAAAAGUGCACGGCUUAUUCUAAAUAGGAAAUUUUCAAAAGAAAUCUUAAGUAUUACAAUUUUCAUUUAAUAUUUGAUAUAUUGUUUCUUCGAUCAUUAGAAGUGCCCAAUCUUGUUUUAUAAAUAUCUGCGAAAGUUUUGAGUUGAAGAAGUAAUUGUUUACAUUGUAUUACUUAAUUAUUUCAUUUCUUCUACAUUUCAGUAAGUUAAAAUUAAGCUAUAAUUAAGUUAAGGUUCCAAGCUUGGCAGGGCAUUAGAAUGUUAGGUAACAAAACACGUUCAGAUAUUUAAUAAUUACUACUGAUAUCUGCUUAAUUAUGCAUAAUUUAUUGUUCAUUUUCGGGUGAUUAUUAUCGGUAUGCAUUUGUUUAUGCUUAAUGCUCAAAGGCUAUUAACGUAUGGGUCAACUGAACAAUUUGCCAAUUUACUGCACUGCAAUUUGCGUUGAAAAUACCUUGAUUAAUUUUCACGCUCACCCUAGUGCAUAUUUUAAUUGGAACGAAAGGGAUUCACUGUCCCAAUGGCUGUUAGAUGAUUCGGAUAUUUCGUAAUUGCAUUUGUACGGUUUUAUGGUAAUUGGCUUUUUUGCACAAGCAGUGCGGCUAAUGUUGCUAUAAUACCUAUUAGCACUAUGAAUAUUAUUAUAUAUUUCAUAUUAUAUUCGCGUGUUGCGAACAUUUUCAUUUACUUUAAUGCGUUUUCAAACGCUAAUUGAAAUCCUUCCUCAGCGGGCAAGGAGCCGGCUUUAGUUAGCCGGCUUGCCAUCUCACAGUUGGUAAUUAGAAGAACAAACUAAUUUAGUAAAUUACUAUUUAGUGGCCCCUUUCGCAUGGGCCACUUGGCCACAACAUCUGUGGUCCACAAAACGUAGUUUUUGGGCUUUGAAGUUGCGGGCUUUGAAUUGCGCCAAAGGACAUUCGAACAAAUGGCAUCCUUUGAGUGUUUGUAGGUGUGUAUCCGUGUGUAUACAUUGCAAUUGCUGUCGAAACAUCAAAGCUAUGCGAGUUUUCCAGUUGACUUCAUCAGUAGAUUGUGUGAAGUAUGCCAAAAAUGUGUUGGAAGCGCUCGACUCGACCCGUUUUUCCAUUUUCCUCCGCCCGAGCGAGUAGUUCAGCCAACCCGGCUUAAAGUUGCUCUUUAAGCCCCCGGACGGAAUGUUGGGUCAUUUCUCCAAAGUCCGGACUCCAGGCACGUGCUGCCAAACCGGAAGGAACACGCGCCCAAGUCCGGACUACGAAACGCUAACGCGAUUGCCCCGAUGAAAUCCAGUGCGCAUGGUAAAAUAAUAUUGGCCAAGCUUUUAAAAUACAUUUUACAUCUACUUCAGUAUAAUUGACGCGUGGCCUUUGUGAUAUAGUCGAGACAAGGAAAUUUGAGAUCGAAGGCUCAUAAAAAAAAAAAGAAAAGUGUUCCGUGGGUAGGAUAGCGAUUCAAUUAAUUUAACGCCCCAAGGGCAUUAGCAAUAUUGCCAGCGUUCAGAGGUUUAUCUUACAGCAAAAAUUGUGAGCUAAUUGAAAUCUCGUGCUAUAUGGAACACAGGUUCAACAGGUUCAAAAGUGACUAAGAAUGAACCAACCAACUUUAAUAUAUGCAUGAUAUAUAACUAAUGCUAUAUCAAACCUAAAAUUGAAAUGAAUUGAAAAAAAUUAGGAUUUAAUGAAAGUGUAAAAAUUAUGCCUCAAAAACAUGUUUUGUUAGAUUUGGCCUCGCUCUACUUGGAAAUUCUAUUCCCCUGUAGGCUUGUGGGUCCAUUUCAAGAGCCUACGCAAAAAGUGCACAAUCGAAAUAACAUAAUUCACCUGGCAGGACCUGUGCUGUCCACCAACUUAACUUCUCCUCCUGAACCAAAGCCACAAAUUCUGGCACAGGAUAAAUAUGAAAUGCAGCCAGGCAUAAGAAGCCAGCACAGACCAUUGACAGCCAGAGUGGGAGCAAAAAGAGGGUGUGGCAGUCGGGGUGUUUCCACGAUUUGUCCUGCUGUUUAAAAUAGCAAACUAGACCAGGAACGUAAUAUGUCCUCCGGCUUAGCGCCCAUGUGUUGGUAUGGCCAGCUAUUCGGGUAUACGGCUAUUGUCUGACUACGGCUUUACAACUCAUAAACAGCAGACGGCCCACUCCUCGCUGGUAAUAACAGUUUAAGCUCGGGGCUCUGUCCAAAAAUUGUCCACAUCUCGUUGUUUAAUUUUUUUUUCUUCGUCGACCCACCCUCUGUUCCUCUUCUUGAUAACAAGUAUUUUUACAUGUGCUAAAAAAACACAGAAACGGACCAAAGUCGGGGGGGCCAUCUUCGUAGGAAGAUGGAGCUGCCCUCAGGCCCAUCCCCAAUGGGCUCUUCCAAUUUUUGGCCUGACUGAAUGUGCGUUUAUGACUUCAUAAUGGCCAGAGAUGGGGAUCAGCUACAGCAGGAGCAGGAGCAGGAGCAGGGAGCAUCAUCUCACCCCAAGGAUAUGCGCUGCAUUGCGGGGUGGUUGCUCCUGUUUCUGAUCCUGAAUCCGCCGCUGCUUCGGCUAUGGAUUUGCGUAGGCGUGGCGUUAACAUGCGACUAAGUCCUUUUAUAUCAGGGAGCUUUCGCUUAGGCUUACGGCUCAGCCUCAGUUUUCAUCUAUCCAGCUCCAGCCUCAGCCACGGCUACAUAUCUUGGGUCUUAGACCAUCAUCAAUUGCUGUCCCCAUGGUGUAGUUAGGCCCGUGGCCCGAAACUCCAAAACCCCGGUCCCGGCUUAUAUAGGCCAGCAGCAGAAUUUAAUGCCGACCUCUGGGAGCUAUUGCGGCCAGGCCAGGACGAAUGGCCCAGCAACAGGAGUGAUGCUCCAUCCCCGCCAUCUUGCCGUGCAAGUUUUAUGCUCAUGUGUGUGCUGCGCCCUGUGUUUUAUAAACAAUUUUAAAUUGCCGGCCCCCGAAAAUGAGGCUGCUUUUGCUCCUUUGUAGGCAAAUUGUUUUAUACGAGUAUGUACGUUGGCUGCUCUGCAGUUUAUUGGCCAGGUCCCCAGAUUGACGGGGAGUUUGGGGUCCGCAUGCAUAACUUUGCAUAAUCCCAGCGAAACUGAAACUAUGUGCGCCACAUUAACUUGCAGCCCUCAGCAGCACUCACACUAUGUAGUGUAUUGGGUAUAAAUCUCGGCAGGAGAUGAAUAAAAUCCAAGAUGAUGCGGAAAAAAUUAGAAAUAAGCGCAAAAUAAUAAACCAUUCAGCGCGCCAAAGUCUCAAAAAUAAUAUAAAUAGCUAAAAAAAAAAAGAAGAGCGGAACAAAACACGAACAAGGAGACAAACAAACAGUCGUCGUAGCCGUGGGAUACGGCAAUGCGCCAUGUGGCACACAUGCUGCACCACUCAACCACUCAGCCACCGAGUCAUCCAUGCCACCCAAACCACCCAUACCAGUUCCAAAUCCGUGCUCCACCUUUGGAGGCACCCCAGUAGACCGCAUGAUUUCAUCUUUCGCUUUCGUGCAGACAACUUUCGCGAGGAAUCCACGGACCGGGAAAUGUGGAAAUACCCUUUUGUAAAGGGAAAGUAAAUUCUAAUAGUGGUUUUAGUUCAGCCCUUCAACUCUCUGUGUAGAGUUUUCAUAUCUACUAAUAGUAGUUGUAUUGAUCAAUUCACAUGGAAAAAUAUAUUGCCGCUUACUUUUAGACACUUUCAUAAGAUAUGUAAGGUAUAUAAGAUAUUUAUAUUGAAUAGUGUUCUUCAUCUAGAGUAUCCUGGCCUCGUUCUUUAGCCCACUGGGAAUACGAAAUUCAUUUUUUCAUUAAAUUCGCCUAAGCAAAUGCUAGCCCUGCCAUAGAAAAGAGUAUGGGUGAGAUGAUUUAUGGAGCAGACUUCAUAAAGUUCAUAAAUGUCGCGGCAAGCAGGCGGUUCGCAAAAAGAGGUGUGUGUGCGUGAGCGAGUGCCAGUGUGUGUGUGUGUGUGUGUGUGUGUGUGUGCGUGUGUUGGUGAGACAGACACUACAACAACAAAGGCAACAUUAGUAACCACAUUCAUGCAUUUGACACUUUCACCUAGCUGAAAAGGGGGGAAAUAAAAAGGGGAGGGGCGCAGUUUUGCGCAUUUAAUUAACUAAAAUGCUAUAAAUAUGAUUUUAAAUUAAUUUACUUGCGUGAGUUAUUAAAUUACAAAAUGCACGGUGUGUUCGCAUUGGAGUGGCUAAUGAAAAGUAAAAAGAAUUGAGGCCUAAUGGAUGAUGUUUUUGGCUAUGGGUGGCCGACCCAGAUGAAAUCUGGCAAAGUGCCAUCUUGUGUUCCAGAUUUCUAGAAUCUAGAUUUUGGCAAAUUUAUAUACUCCUUUGAUAUACAUAUAUUCCCUGAUGUCCAAUGCUCUGUAAUAAUUUAUUUUCUAAUUUUUAGCGUUGAUCUCUACAUUUUCUUUAGCUGCAAUUUCAUCUGUGUCCCACCUUGUUUUCCCAAAUUCAAUCUCCAUUUUUCAGUGUUAUGGCAGGGCCAACAGAAAGAAGGCUAGCAACCAUCAGAAACUAAUUUCGUGUUGCCCAUGGAGCCUGGCACCUUACACACUUUCCGAUGUCCUUGUCCCCAGACGAAACCGAUGGCGGAAAGCUGCCAACCGCAUUUGAGCCGCCGUCGGGCGUUUCAGAGGGUAUUAAAUUGUCUGGUCGCAUAUCGCGGCGUAGUCAAAUUUCCGCCGUACGUACGGCCAAACACUCCCAAAAAACCCACGAACACUCACGUGGAAAGCCAGGGGCACAGAGCCGGGGCAAUUGCAAUCUCCAAUUUCAAUCAAGAAACCGCCGGGUGGCGGAUUCAAACGCCCUCAGUUGCAGAUGCAGUUUCAGAUGGUGGUGCACAGGGAAAAAGAUUAGGUAUUCAGAUCUUAAGACGCGGGUAGAUGAUUUUCUGGGAUGUACGAUUUGAACUUUGGCUAGAAUUUGGGGUCUCCUUGAUAUUACGAUUGUAAAGUUCUGAGAGAAGGAUGCUCUAUUUAACUUUUCUCAGUGCAUAGUUGCAGGUGCCUCGGAUGCGAAGACCCCAAAGCUGCUUCGGAAUGAAAGUCAAUAUAAAGGUUGAUACAUUGCGCAGCGGAACUGAGUGGAGCGGAACCUUUGAUGCGAUGCAUCAGCCGGCUGCUGACACACCAACCAGGUUGAUAAGCCGUCGAGCAGUCGAUGAAAUGGCGAAUUGAGCUCCUGCGCUCCUUUUUUGGGUCCUUCGGAUUGUCAUUGCUGCUGCAUCCCUUGGCGGAGGGGCAAAAAGGAACAUCAAUUUUGAGAAUACUUCCACUGCGACAGAGCAUUUUAUUAGUCAGCCCGAAAUGGGGAUUCCGCAAUAUGUAAGUAUAUGCUCACUUUUCAGUCAGGCUUAUGGGCCCGCCAAUUUGGCCUGAUUUGUCAGAAUUGAUUGCUGUAAUCCUAGUGGCAACUUUCUCAGCCUUAUUGACAGGCUGUCCCAUAAAAUGAGGAGCUGAUGAUGAUUAAAACCUAAU